Molecule: ribosomal RNA, 484 nt
Filed under: uncultured bacterium
Lineage: Bacteria
Description: partial 16S ribosomal RNA
Rfam family: Bacterial small subunit ribosomal RNA
Source: RNAcentral
AUUGAACGCUGGCGGCAGGCCUAACACAUGCAAGUCGAGCGGAUGAAGGGAGCUUGCUCCUGGAUUCAGCGGCGGACGGGUGAGUAAUGCCUAGGAAUCUGCCUGGUAGUGGGGGAUAACGUCCGGAAACGGGCGCUAAUACCGCAUACGUCCUGAGGGAGAAAGUGGGGGAUCUUCGGACCUCACGCUAUCAGAUGAGCCUAGGUCGGAUUAGCUAGUUGGUGGGGUAAAGGCCUACCAAGGCGACGAUCCGUAACUGGUCUGAGAGGAUGAUCAGUCACCACUGAAAUUAGGCACGGUUCCGAAUCCUUACGGAAGCCGCAGGUGGGAAUUUUGGACCAUUGGCGAAAACCUUAUUCCGCCAUGGCGCGGGGUUGAAGGAAGUCUUUCGAUUGUUAAGCCCUUUUAAGUGGGAGGAAGGGCAGUAAGUUAAUACCUUGCUGUUUUGACGUUACCAACAGAAUAAGCACCGGCUAACUUCGUG